RNAcentral lists this transfer RNA (63 nucleotides) under Pseudomonas taeanensis. It matches the Rfam family "tRNA", at positions 8 to 63 of the family's 71-position model. Rfam says of the family: Transfer RNA (tRNA) molecules are approximately 80 nucleotides in length. Their secondary structure includes four short double-helical elements and three loops (D, anti-codon, and T loops). The record is from RNAcentral. Lineage: Bacteria; Pseudomonadati; Pseudomonadota; Gammaproteobacteria; Pseudomonadales; Pseudomonadaceae. RNAcentral also lists the same sequence under 1 other name.
UAGCUCAGUUGGUAGAGCAGUUGGCUUUUAACCAAUUGGUCGUAGGUUCGAAUCCCACACGAC